AGUGAACGCUGGCGGUAGGCCUAACACAUGCAAGUCGAACGGCAGCACAGUAAGAGCUUGCUCUUACGGGUGGCGAGUGGCGGACGGGUGAGGAAUACAUCGGCAUCUACUUUUUCGUGGGGGAUAACGUAGGGAAACUUACGCUAAUACCGCAUACGACCUACGGGUGAAAGCAGGGGAUCUUCGGACCUUGCGCGAUUGAAUGAGCCGAUGUCGGAUUAGCUAGUUGGCGGGGUAAAGGCCCACCAAGGCGACGAUCCGUAGCUGGUCUGAGAGGAUGAUCAGCCACACUGGAACUGAGACACGGUCCAGACUCCUACGGGAGGCAGCAGUGGGGAAUAUUGGACAAUGGGCGCAAGCCUGAUCCAGCCAUACCGCGUGAGUGAAGAAGGCCUUCGGGUUGUAAAGCCCUUUUGUUGGGAAAGAAAAGCAGCAGGUUAAUACCCCGCUGUUCUGACGGUACCCAAAGAAUAAGCACCGGCUAACUUCGUG
RNAcentral lists this ribosomal RNA (492 nucleotides) under uncultured bacterium. Its description in RNAcentral is "partial 16S ribosomal RNA". It matches the Rfam family "Bacterial small subunit ribosomal RNA", at positions 29 to 507 of the family's 1533-position model. The record is from RNAcentral.